Molecule: ribosomal RNA, 402 nt
Filed under: uncultured bacterium
Lineage: Bacteria
Description: bacterial SSU rRNA
Rfam family: Bacterial small subunit ribosomal RNA
Source: RNAcentral
UCGAGAAUCUUUGUCAAUGGGCGCAAGCCUGAACGAGCGACGCCGCGUGUGGGAUGAAGGCCCUUGGGUUGUAAACCACUGUCAGGGGGUACGAAUAAGCGUGUAACCCACGCGAUGACUUAAACCCCAAAGGAAGUGACGGCUAACUACGUGCCAGCAGCUGCGGUAAUACGUAGGUCACGAACGUUAUUCGGAAUCACUGGGCUUAAAGGGCGCGUAGGCGGCUUAACAAGUCAUGGUUGAAAUCCGACGGCUCACCCGUCGAACUGGCCCUGAUACUGUCAAGCUAGAGUUGCGGAGGGAUGCGUGGAACUUGUGGUGGAGCGGUGAAAUGCCCAGAUAUCACAGGGAACACCGGUGGCGAAGGCGACGCAUUGGCCGCAUACUGACGCUGAGGCGCGA